ACGGCUUACCAAGGCGACGAUGAUUAGGGGCCCUGAGAGGGGGAUCCCCCACACUGGUACUGAGACACGGACCAGACUCCUACCAGAGGCAGCAGUGAGGAAUAUUGGACAAUGGUCGGAAGACUGAUCCAGCCAUGCCGCGUGCAGGAUGACUGCCCUAUGGGUUGUAAACUGCUUUUGUACGAGAAGAACACCCUCUUCGUGAAGAGGACUGACGGUAUCGUACGAAUAAGGACCGGCUAACUCCGUGCCAGCAGCCGCGGUAAUACGGAGGGUCCGAGCGUUAUCCGGAAUCAUUGGGUUUAAAGGGUCCGUAGGCGGGCUAUUAAGUCAGAGGUGAAAUUGUGCAGCUCAACUGUAGAACUGCCUUUGAUACUGAUAGUCUUGAGUUAUGGUGAGGUAGCCGGAACAUGUGGUGUAGCGGUGAAAUGCAUAGAUAUCACAUAGAACGCCGAUUGCGAAGGCAGGUUACCAACCAUAUACUGACGCUGAUGGACGAAAGCGUGGGGAGCGAACGGGAUUAGAUACCCCGGUAGUCCACGCCGUAAACGAUGGAUACUAGCUGUUGGGUUUUC
This 575-nucleotide ribosomal RNA is filed under the name uncultured microorganism. Its description in RNAcentral is "SSU rRNA". It matches the Rfam family "Bacterial small subunit ribosomal RNA", at positions 260 to 832 of the family's 1533-position model. The record is from RNAcentral.